CUUUCCCGCGCGACCGGCGAGGGAGGAAGAAGCGCGAAGAGCCGUUAGUCAUGCCGGUGUGGUGGCGGCGGCGGAGACUGCGGGCCCGUAGCUGGGCUCUGCGAGGUGCAAGAAAGCCUUUGAGGUGAAGGUGUAUGAAAGUCAUCAUAACAGAUGUUUUCCAAAAACUUGUAGAAGGUUGUGAAAAAACUACUAGGAUCACGCGGCAUGUAUUGAGGUUGCUGUAGAUGAAUGUUCUUAGCUGUCAUGUUUAAAAAUACUUCUGCUUCGUUACCUCAAGUGUGGCAUGCAGCAUUUUGGAAGGAAAAUUGAAGACGUGUUCAAGAAAACAUGAACAGAAGCAAAUGAUGAAAAUGAGCAUUUUACUUGAUGUUGAUAACAUCACAAUAAAUUAUGGAGAAAAAUACAUAUUUGGCUAACUUUUAAUUGCUGAACAAUAAAGUGUUUUCUUUUAAAUCAA
RNAcentral lists this long non-coding RNA (460 nucleotides) under Homo sapiens (human). The record is from RNAcentral. Lineage: Eukaryota; Metazoa; Chordata; Mammalia; Primates; Hominidae.